GUAAGGCCCAAGGCCAGCAGGAUCACUUUGCAAAAGGCAUAUAUACAGGGAAGAGUGAAGUGUUGUGGCCCAUUGUUUGCAAUGUUCCAUGUUUAUACCCAACACAACAAAAAGAGUGUUUCACAUCUGCUCGGUCUAAAGGUUGGUUCACUUCUGUGAGUUGAAUACAGGCACCAAAAAGAAGUUACUGAGAAUUCUUCUUUCUAGCAUUAUAUGAAGAAAUCCCGUUUCCAAAGAAGGCCUCAAAGAGGUAUAAAUAUCCACUUGCAGACUUUACAAAGAGAGUUUUUCCAAACUGCUCUAUGAAAAGAAAGGUUAAACUCGGCGAGUUGAACGCACACAUCACAAAGUAGUUUCUGAGAAUGAUUCUCUCUUGUUUUUCUACGAAUAUAUGUCCUUUUCUACCAUUGGCCUCAAAGCGAUUGAAAUCUGCACCUGGAAAUUCCACAAAAAGAGUGUAUCAAAUCUGCUCUGUCAAAAGGAAGUUUCAAUUCUGCUAGUUGAAUAAAUAUAACACAAAUAAGUUUCUGAGAAUUCUUCUGUCUAACAUUAUAUGAAGAAAUCCCGUUUCCAACGAAGGCCUCAAAGGUGUCCAAAUAUCCACUGGCAAACUUUACAAAGAGAGUGUUUCCAAACUGCUCAAUCAAAAGAAAGGUUAAACUCUGUGAAUUGAAUGCACACAUCACAAAGUAGUUUCUGAGAAUGAUUCUGUCUACUUUUUAUACGAAGAUAUUUCCUUUUCUACUUUUGGCCUAUAAGCGCUUGAAAUCUCCAACUUCAAAUAUCACAGAAAGAGUGUUUCACAUCUGCUCCAUUGAAAAGAAGGUUCAACUCUGUGAGUUGAAUACACAGGACACAAAGAAGUUACUGAGAAUUCUUUGUCCAGCAGUAUAUGAAGAAAUCCCGUUUCCAACGAAGGCCUCAAAGAGGUCCAAUUUUCCACGUGCAGAUAUUAAAAAGAGAGUGAUUCUAAACAGCACUAUGAAAAGAAAUGUUAAACUCUGUGAGUUGAACGCUCACAUGACAAAGUAGUUUCUCAGAAUGAUUCUGUCUAGAUUUUAUACGAAGAUACUACGUUUUCUACCCUUGGCCUGAAAGCGCUUGAAAUCUCCACAUGCAAAUUCCACAAAAAGAGUGUAUCAAAUGUGCUCUGUCUAAAGGAAGGUUCAAGUCUGUGAGUGGAAUACACACAACACAAAGAAGUUACUGAGAAUUCUUCUGUCUAGCAUUAUAUGAAGAAAUCCCUUUUCUAAGGAAAGUCUCGAAGAGGUCCAAAUAUCCUCUUGCGGACUAUCCAACCAGAGUGUUUCCACACUGCUGCAUGAAAAGAAAGGUUAAACUCUGUGAGUUGAACGCACACAUCAAAAAGUAGUUUCUGAGAAUGAUUCUGUCUAAUUUUUAUACGAAGAUAUUUCUUUUUCUACCAUUGGCCUCAAAGCGAUUGAAAUUUCCACAUGGAAAUUCCACAAAAAGAGUGUUUCAAAUCUGCUCUGUCUAAAGGAAAGUUCAACUCUGUGAGUUGAAUGCACACAACAGAAAUAAGUUACUGAGAAUUCUUCUGUCUAACAUUAUACGAAGAAAUCACGUUUCCAACGAAGGACACAAAGAGGUCCAUAUAUCCACUUGCUGAAUUUACAAGGAGAGUGUCUCCAAACUGCUCAAUCAAAAGAAAGUUUAAACUCCGUGAAUUGAACGCACCCAUCACAAAGUAGUUUCUGAGAAUGAUUCUGUCUAUAUUUUAUACGAAGAUAUUUCCUUUUCUACUUUUGGCGUAUAAGCGCUCGAAAUCUCCAACUGCAAAUAUCACAAAAAGAGGUUUUCACAUCUGCUCUGUCUAAAGGAAGUUUCAACUCUAUGAGUUGAAUACACACAACACAAGGAAGUUAUUAAGAUUUAUUCUGUCUAGCAGUAUAUGAAGAAAUCCCGUUUCCAAUGAAGGCCUCAAAGAGGUCCAAAUAUCCUCUUGCAGACUUUACAAACAGAGUGUUUCCAGGCUGCUCUAUGAAAAGAAAGGUAAACAUAUCACUCUUAUUUGAAUACUUUUAUAUUUGUUCCUAUUCAACUUAGGACAGUAUUAUAAUAGAACAGACUCCCAAUGUUACCAAUAAGCUAAUAAUGUUGCUAUAGAAACUUAUUCAAAUCAUUUAUACACAUUUUCCACAUAAUACAAAUUCUGUUUUAACAUGACCACGUUGUACAUUAACCCCACAAGUUAUAGCUGGGAAUUGAUAAUUAACCUCAAUGCCACACAGAAAACCAGUG
This 2262-nucleotide long non-coding RNA is filed under the name Homo sapiens (human). RNAcentral's name for it is "HSALNT0073165". The record is from RNAcentral. Lineage: Eukaryota; Metazoa; Chordata; Mammalia; Primates; Hominidae.